ACCCGCUGAUAUUAAGCAUAUCAAUAAGCGGAGGAAGAGAAACUAACCAGGAUUCCCCCAGUAACGGCGAGCGAAGAGGGAUAGCUCGAGCAUGAAAUCCCCGAGAAUUGUGGCCGGUAGAGGCAGCUGCCCGGCUGGCGCUGUCGAAGUUGACCUGGAAAGGCACGUCGGAGAGGGUGAGAGCCCCGUGCGCGACACCGGCGGGCCGGGCCAGCUGUCUUCGGAGAGUCGGGUUGUUUGGGAUUGCAGCCCAAAGUGGGUGGUAAACUCCAUCUAAAGCUAAAUACUGGCACGAGACCGAUAGCGAACAAGUACCGUGAGGGAAAGGUGAAAAGUACUUUG
RNAcentral lists this ribosomal RNA (342 nucleotides) under Lissodendoryx colombiensis. Its description in RNAcentral is "partial 28S ribosomal RNA". It matches the Rfam family "Eukaryotic large subunit ribosomal RNA", at positions 23 to 378 of the family's 3401-position model. Lineage: Eukaryota; Metazoa; Porifera; Demospongiae; Poecilosclerida; Coelosphaeridae. The record is from RNAcentral.